Molecule: long non-coding RNA, 1192 nt
Filed under: Numida meleagris (helmeted guineafowl)
Lineage: Eukaryota; Metazoa; Chordata; Aves; Galliformes; Numididae
Description: lncRNA (ENSNMEG00000012698.1)
Source: RNAcentral
CACUUUCUAGAUUAAGAUCUUAAUCUUACAGAUAACUCCAGGCUGCUGAAAUCCAGCAGCCACGUGGAAGCCUCUCCGUGGAUACCCACCAGAGACGGGGCCCUGCCCCAUUUGCACUGGGAUGUGCCACUGCCCACUGGGAAAGCCCAGGCACCCCGCUCACGGGAAAUGCACUAAGCACCAGGCGUGAUGGAUAAUACCAAGCUGAACAGAUUUGGAGAGAAGAAGCCUGGCUCGGGAAAUUUAGCCCAGAGCAUCGCCUCUCCUGUGGCAUUGGUUUUGCUGGCUUUGCCGCUGUUGGUACUCCGAGCGUAGUUUGUGCAUGGUAAUUUCCUUUAAGAAAAAAAUACUGUGAAGGGAAUGAGAGUUGACAUGACAGAUUGUAUCUGCUGUGCCUGUUGGCCCCAAAGGCAGUCGGUUGUGUUUUAAAAUUCAGCAAUUAUGUAUGUACACAAAUGUUUCUAAUGGGCCCCAAACCGUUAGCAACAACAGGCCGCUGUCCCUGAGCACUGCGUAGCAAACGCGGGAAAGAUUAAACUGAAAGAAAGUGGCAUGGACAGGGAAGCCUGCCUGAGUGGGGAGAAGGGCCUCAAGGAGAAACCAGAAAGCUGGAAGAAGCUCUGGAUUCUGUGGUCGUGAUGAAGUCAUACUGAGGAGUCUGACCUCCGUGGGAGAGCAGCAUGAACCUAAAGCUCUGCAGCCUUAGGCAGAACAAAUGCGCCUCUGCGGCCUGGUGUCCAGCAGGGACGCUCACCAGAAAUGUGUUUGGUAGCACAGCUGAAGUUCUGCAGCCUCCGUGGGGCUGGCGGAGCAGUGGCCGACUCGUCUCCUGCCACCCAGGAGAGACCCUUGGCCAGGCAGAAGGGGCAGUGCCUGGUUAAUGAACCACCUCCGCACCUUUGUUCCUCUGGCUGCCUGGUGCCCUGCUCUCGCGUGUACAAUUAUUACAAAAAUCAGAGUGUUGCCUUGAGAUAUGAUUUUCAUAGCGGGAUAGAUUUUAUUAUACCAGCCGUACAAUACCCACCAUUAUCAUUUUGAUUAUACGCUCCUCUCAUUUGCACUAUUGGAACAUUAUCUGUGGUACAUUCAUUAUUACUUUAUAAGAAACUGAAACUACAUCCUUAAGAUGAAUUGUAAGGAAGGAUUUCUAUUUCCUCAGAUAUAUACUUUGGCUGAGAACAUUAAGUGGCAA